GCCGAAGUGCUGAAAUUGGCAUACAGGGCAGACUUAAAAUCUGCUGAUCGCAAGGUCGUGAGGGUUCGAGUCCCUCCUUCGGCA
Candidatus Chisholmbacteria bacterium is the source of this 84-nucleotide non-coding RNA. Lineage: Bacteria; Candidatus Chisholmiibacteriota. The record is from Rfam.